This 31-nucleotide non-coding RNA is filed under the name Rattus norvegicus (Norway rat). Lineage: Eukaryota; Metazoa; Chordata; Mammalia; Rodentia; Muridae. The record is from RNAcentral.
UCAGGGACCUUAAAUACAUUCCUGGAUGAGU